RNAcentral lists this ribosomal RNA (400 nucleotides) under uncultured bacterium. RNAcentral describes it as "bacterial SSU rRNA". It matches the Rfam family "Bacterial small subunit ribosomal RNA", at positions 28 to 427 of the family's 1533-position model. The record is from RNAcentral.
GACGAACGCUGGCGGCGUGCUUAACACAUGCAAGUCGAGCGGUAAGGCCCUUUCGGGGGUACGACGAGCGGCGAACGGGUGAGUAACACGUGGGUGACCUGCCCUCAGCUCUGGGAUAAGCCUGGGAAACCGGGUCUAAUACUGGAUAUGACUCCAUGACGCAUGUUGUGGGGUGGAAAGCCUUGUGCGGCUGAGGAUGGGCCCGCGCCUAUCAGCUUGUUGGGUGGGGUGANCGGCCUACCAAGGCGACGACGGGUAGCCGGCCUGAGAGGGCGACCGGCCACACUGGGACUGAGACACGGCCCAGACUCCUACGGGAGGCAGCAGUGGGGAAUCUUGCGCAACGGGCGAAAGCCUGACGCAGCGACGCCNCGUGAGGGAUGACGGCCUGGUGUAAGUA